CCGGUUCCUAACAGACACCAGAUUGAAGAGAGAGUGGAUUUCAAAAAUUAGAAGAGACAUCGGUACAUUUUUCCAGCAAUGAACCUGCUGGAGAGACAGAAGAUGCAAGUGUAGACCUGGCUGGAGUUGACACUGGUGCAGACCAAGUUGUUAAGCCAGCACCCCACUCUGACCAUGACUAUGCUGAACUCUCGGUCACUGGAAGAGCAGCUAGAAGCAGCACGGAAGGAGAUCGCCCACCUUACGCAGGAGAAUACCAUCCUCAAGGCAUCCUGUUUCAACUUGAAGCAAAAAUGAUUCA
This is a long non-coding RNA of Alosa alosa (allis shad), 301 nucleotides long. RefSeq lists it as uncharacterized. The transcript has 3 exons. Lineage: Eukaryota; Metazoa; Chordata; Actinopteri; Clupeiformes; Clupeidae. The record is from RefSeq and is a predicted model, not a curated record.